RNAcentral lists this ribosomal RNA (157 nucleotides) under Rhizoclosmatium globosum. Its description in RNAcentral is "5.8S ribosomal RNA". It matches the Rfam family "5.8S ribosomal RNA". Rfam says of the family: 5.8S ribosomal RNA (5.8S rRNA) is a component of the large subunit of the eukaryotic ribosome. The record is from RNAcentral. Lineage: Eukaryota; Fungi; Chytridiomycota; Chytridiomycetes; Chytridiales; Chytriomycetaceae.
AAUCCAACUUUAGCCAAUGGAUUUUUUGGCUCCCGCAUCGAUGAAGAACGUAGGGAAUUGCGAUAAUUUUUGGGAAUUGCAGAUUUAGGGAAUCAUCGGGUUUUUGAACGCAUUUUGCCCCCUUUGGUUUUCCGGGGGGUAUUUUUGUUUGAGAACC